ACGCUGGCGGCAGGCCUAACACAUGCAAGUCGAACGGUAACAGGAAGCAGCUUGCUCCUUUGCUGACGAGUGGCGGACGGGUGAGUAAUGUCUGGGAAACUGCCCGAUGGAGGGGGAUAACUACUGGAAACGGUAGCUAAUACCGCAUAACGUCGCAAGACCAAAGAGGGGGACCUUCGGGCCUCUUGCCAUCGGAUGUGCCCAGAUGGGAUUAGCUUGUUGGUGAGGUAAUGGCUCACCAAGGCGACGAUCCCUAGCUGGUCUGAGAGGAUGACCAGCCACACUGGAACUGAGACACGGUCCAGACUCCUACGGGAGGCAGCAGUGGGGAAUAUUGCACAAUGGGCGCAAGCCUGAUGCAGCCAUGCCGCGUGUGUGAAGAAGGCCUUCGGGUUGUAAAGCACUUUCAGCGGGGAGGAAGGCAGUACGGUUAAUAACCGUGCUGAUUGACGUUACCCGCAGAAGAAGCACCGGCUAACUCCGUGCCAGCAGCCGCGGUAAUACGGAGGGUGCAAGCGUUAAUCGGAAUUACUGGGCGUAAAGCGCACGCAGGCGGUCUGUCAAGUCGGAUGUGAAAUCCCCGGGCUCAACCUGGGAACUGCAUUCGAAACUGGCAGGCUUGAGUCUUGUAGAGGGGGGUAGAAUUCCAGGUGUAGCGGUGAAAUGCGUAGAGAUCUGGAGGAAUACCGGUGGCGAAGGCGGCCCCCUGGACAAAGACUGACGCUCAGGUGCGAAAGCGUGGGGAGCAAACAGGAUUAGAUACCCUGGUAGUCCACGCCGUAAACGAUGUCGACUUGGAGGUUGUGCCCUUGAGGCGUGGCUUCCGGAGCUAACGCGUUAAGUCGACCGCCUGGGGAGUACGGCCGCAAGGUUAAAACUCAAAUGAAUUGACGGGGGCCCGCACAAGCGGUGGAGCAUGUGGUUUAAUUCGAUGCAACGCGAAGAACCUUACCUGGUCUUGACAUCCACGGAAUUUGGCAGAGAUGCCUUAGUGCCUUCGGGAACCGUGAGACAGGUGCUGCAUGGCUGUCGUCAGCUCGUGUUGUGAAAUGUUGGGUUAAGUCCCGCAACGAGCGCAACCCUUAUCCUUUGUUGCCAGCGGUCCGGCCGGGAACUCAAAGGAGACUGCCAGUGAUAAACUGGAGGAAGGUGGGGAUGACGUCAAGUCAUCAUGGCCCUUACGACCAGGGCUACACACGUGCUACAAUGGCAUAUACAAAGAGAAGCGACCUCGCGAGAGCAAGCGGACCUCAUAAAGUAUGUCGUAGUCCGGAUUGGAGUCUGCAACUCGACUCCAUGAAGUCGGAAUCGCUAGUAAUCGUGGAUCAGAAUGCCACGGUGAAUACGUUCCCGGGCCUUGUACACACCGCCCGUCACACCAUGGGAGUGGGUUGCAAAAGAAGUAGGUAGCUUAACCUUCGGGAGGGCGCUUACCACUUUGUGAUUCAUGACUGGG
RNAcentral lists this ribosomal RNA (1456 nucleotides) under Cedecea sp. G12. Its description in RNAcentral is "bacterial SSU rRNA". It matches the Rfam family "Bacterial small subunit ribosomal RNA". The record is from RNAcentral. Lineage: Bacteria; Pseudomonadati; Pseudomonadota; Gammaproteobacteria; Enterobacterales; Enterobacteriaceae.